CAGUAGCCGCGGGAAUACGUAGGUGGCAAGCGUUGUCCGGAAUUAUUGGGCGUAAAGGGCUCGCAGGCGGUUUCUUAAGUCUGAUGUGAAAGCCCCCGGCUCAACCGGGGAGGGUCAUUGGAAACUGGGAAACUUGAGUGCAGAAGAGGAGAGUGGAAUUCCACGUGUAGCGGUGAAACGCGUAGAGAUGUGGAGGAACACCAGUGGCGAAGGCGACUCUCUGGUCUGUAACUGACGCUGAGGAGCGAAAGCGUGGGGAGCGAACAGGAUUAGAUACCCCGGUAGUCCCUGUCUCUUAUAC
Molecule: ribosomal RNA, 301 nt
Filed under: uncultured bacterium
Lineage: Bacteria
Description: partial 16S ribosomal RNA
Rfam family: Bacterial small subunit ribosomal RNA
Source: RNAcentral